This 397-nucleotide ribosomal RNA is filed under the name uncultured bacterium. RNAcentral describes it as "partial 16S ribosomal RNA". It matches the Rfam family "Bacterial small subunit ribosomal RNA", at positions 338 to 732 of the family's 1533-position model. The record is from RNAcentral.
CCUACGGGAGGCAGCAGUGAGGAAUAUUGGUCAAUGGGCGGAAGCCUGAACCAGCCAAGUCGCGUGAGGGAAGACGGCCCUAUGGAUUGUAAACCUCUUUUGUCGGGGAGCAACGCCGGACACGUGUACCCGGAGGGAGAGUACCUGCAGAAUAAGCAUCGUCUAACUCGGUGCAAGCAGCGGCGGUAAUAGGGAGGAUGCGAUCGUUAUCCGGAUUUAUUGGGUUUAAGGGGUGCGUAGGCGGAUUGUAAAGUCAUCGGGAAAAUCUCCGGUCUCAACCCGGAACGGCCGUUGAAACUGGGGUUCUUGAGUGGGCGAGAGGUAUGCGGAAUGCGUGGUGUAGCGGUGAAAUGCAUAGAUAUCACGAAGAACUCCGAUUGCGAAGGCAGCAUACCGG